This 793-nucleotide long non-coding RNA is filed under the name Homo sapiens (human). RNAcentral describes it as "DLGAP1 antisense RNA 4". Lineage: Eukaryota; Metazoa; Chordata; Mammalia; Primates; Hominidae. The record is from RNAcentral.
AGAAGACAAGCAGAUGAGGAGACAAAACCUACUGAUGUGGGUACCCAAGCAGGAACCCCCCUCUUGCACCGGCGACUCACGUGGGAAGAAGAAUUCACUGAGCUGAAAUGGAGUGAGAGCUAAGAUGCUCUCAGAAUAUUCUUAAAAUGACUGUGCUGCAAAGAAGCCCGGGUGAAUAGAAGAAAAUAGAAGGAAUGGUGGAUACAAGUGAAGGUUAAAAUGAGACCCCAUUUAUCGCACCAGCUGUUGGUGAUUUCAGCGCACCUUUCCAAGCCUCUUGAGAGUUCUGCUCUAACCACACUGCCCCCUAGUGUUCUCUCGCUUUGGUGCAACGUCCGUCUUGUACACUUCCUUCCACAGACCUGUAAUCAGCUAUUUCUUCAGGGAGCCUGUGAUUCCUUUUAGUGGAAAAUGGUUUCUCAUACUUCCGGAGAAAUAGAAAGCACCAGAUGACAGCCACCACACACUUUUGUCCCCAUUGCAAUAGGAUGCUUCUAACAAUCGUAAAAUUAUGAAACACUGAAUUCCUUAAAAGUUGUCCAUUUGUGGAUUUAUCUGAUGGUAACUAUUAAAUAUUUAAAAGUAACUUUAAUGAAUCUACUUAUGAUGAUUGAGUAAUCUAUUCUCUGAAUUCCACCAAAAAACCAUUUUAUGACCACAGUCAUAACGAACAUAUUUCUAUAGUCCUAAGCUGGCAAGAUAAAUAGAGAACAGUUCAUAAUAUAAACAAUAUAUUUAUUUAUUCCUAAACUAAUAAGAUGACUAUCAAUCUGUAAGAGACUAUGAAAAUCAA